Molecule: unclassified non-coding RNA, 520 nt
Filed under: uncultured Glomus
Lineage: Eukaryota; Fungi; Glomeromycota; Glomeromycetes; Glomerales; Glomeraceae
Description: SSU rRNA
Rfam family: Eukaryotic small subunit ribosomal RNA
Source: RNAcentral
CGCAGCCGCGGUAAUUCCAGCUCCAAUAGCGUAUAUUAAAGUUGUUGCAGUUAAAAAGCUCGUAGUUGAAUUUCGGGGUUAGUAGGCUGGUCAUGCCUCUGGUAUGUACUGGCCUCACUGAUUCCUCCUUCCUGAUGAACCUUAAUGCCAUUAAUUUGGUGUUUUGGGGAAUUUGGACUGUUACUUUGAAAAAAUUAGAGUGCUUAAAGCAAGCUAACGCUUGAAUACAUUAGCAUGGAAUAAUGAAAUAGGACGUUCGAUCCUAUUUUGUUGGUUUCUAGGAUUGACGUAAUGAUUAAUAGGGAUAGUUGGGGGCAUUAGUAUUCAAUUGUCAGAGGUGAAAUUCUUGGAUUUAUUGAAGACUAACUACUGCGAAAGCAUUUGCCAAGGAUGCUUUCAUUAAUCAAGAACGAAAGUUAGGGGAUCGAAGACGAUCAGAUACCGUCGUAGUCUUAACCAUAAACUAUGCCGACUAGGGAUCGGAUGAUGUUAAUUUUUUUAAUGACUCAUUCGGCGCCUU